RNAcentral lists this ribosomal RNA (1343 nucleotides) under uncultured bacterium. Its description in RNAcentral is "16S ribosomal RNA". It matches the Rfam family "Bacterial small subunit ribosomal RNA", at positions 28 to 1378 of the family's 1533-position model. The record is from RNAcentral.
GACGAACGCUGGCGGCGUGCCUAACACAUGCAAGUCGAACGGAAAGGCCCUGCUUUUGUGGGGUGCUCGAGUGGCGAACGGGUGAGUAACACGUGAGUAACCUGCCCUUGACUUUGGGAUAACUUCAGGAAACUGGGGCUAAUACCGGAUAGGAGCUCCUGCUGCAUGGUGGGGGUUGGAAAGUUUCGGCGGUUGGGGAUGGACUCGCGGCUUAUCAGCUUGUUGGUGGGGUAGUGGCUUACCAAGGCUUUGACGGGUAGCCGGCCUGAGAGGGUGACCGGCCACAUUGGGACUGAGAUACGGCCCAGACUCCUACGGGAGGCAGCAGUGGGGAAUAUUGCACAAUGGGCGGAAGCCUGAUGCAGCAACGCCGCGUGCGGGAUGACGGCCUUCGGGUUGUAAACCGCUUUCGCCUGUGACGAAGCGUGAGUGACGGUAAUGGGUAAAGAAGCACCGGCUAACUACGUGCCAGCAGCCGCGGUGAUACGUAGGGUGCGAGCGUUGUCCGGAUUUAUUGGGCGUAAAGGGCUCGUAGGUGGUUGAUCGCGUCGGAAGUGUAAUCUUGGGGCUUAACCCUGAGCGUGCUUUCGAUACGGGUUGACUUGAGGAAGGUAGGGGAGAAUGGAAUUCCUGGUGGAGCGGUGGAAUGCGCAGAUAUCAGGAGGAACACCAGUGGCGAAGGCGGUUCUCUGGGCCUUUCCUGACGCUGAGGAGCGAAAGCGUGGGGAGCGAACAGGCUUAGAUACCCUGGUAGUCCACGCUGUAAACGGUGGGUACUAGGUGUGGGGUCCAUUCCACGGGUUCCGUGCCGUAGCUAACGCUUUAAGUACCCCGCCUGGGGAGUACGGCCGCAAGGCUAAAACUCAAAGGAAUUGACGGGGCCCCGCACAAGCGGCGGAGCAUGCGGAUUAAUUCGAUGCAACGCGUAGAACCUUACCUGGGUUUGACAUGGAUCGGGAGUGCUCAGAGAUGGGUGUGCCUCUUUUGGGGUCGGUUCACAGGUGGUGCAUGGCUGUCGUCAGCUCGUGUCGUGAGAUGUUGGGUUAAGUCCCGCAACGAGCGCAACCCUUGUUCACUGUUGCCAGCACGUUAUGGUGGGGACUCAGUGGAGACCGCCGGGGUCAACUCGGAGGAAGGUGGGGAUGACGUCAAGUCAUCAUGCCCCUUAUGUCCAGGGCCUCACGCAUGCUACAAUGGCUGGUACAGAGAGUGGCGAGCCUGUGAGGGUGAGCGAAUCUCGGAAAGCCGGUCUCAGUUCGGAUUGGGGUCUGCAACUCGACCUCAUGAAGUCGGAGUCGCUAGUAAUCGCAGAUCAGCAACGCUGCGGUGAAUACGUUCCCGGG